GCACCAUUAGCUCAGAUGGUAGAGCAACUGACUCUUAAUCAGUGGGUCCUGGGUUCGAGUCCCCGAUGGUGCACUA
RNAcentral lists this transfer RNA (76 nucleotides) under Ruminococcus sp. YE71. RNAcentral describes it as "tRNA_Lys_CTT". It matches the Rfam family "tRNA". Rfam says of the family: Transfer RNA (tRNA) molecules are approximately 80 nucleotides in length. Their secondary structure includes four short double-helical elements and three loops (D, anti-codon, and T loops). The record is from RNAcentral. Lineage: Bacteria; Bacillati; Bacillota; Clostridia; Eubacteriales; Oscillospiraceae. RNAcentral also lists the same sequence under 3 other names.